Molecule: long non-coding RNA, 1494 nt
Organism: Haliotis rufescens (red abalone)
Lineage: Eukaryota; Metazoa; Mollusca; Gastropoda; Lepetellida; Haliotidae
Exons: 3
Source: RefSeq, a predicted model, not a curated record
UCGCCAUUUUUUCCCCAGUUGUUUACUUCGAAAGAAUUUACACUGCUUUGAAUUACGAAUCUAGACAGAAAAACAAAUUGACAGCCAUAUACGCUACAGGUGGAAAACAGACUUCAGACAAAAUACAGCAAGUUCGUGUUAGUGGUAUCAUGGUGAUAUUUUUUACUGUAGUGAGGAGCAAGUAGAUGAAGGGCUGACAAGAUUGUCAGAAAGAGAACAGCUAAAGGCCAUAGAAUCGCAGCUCAAAUUCAGGAAACAAGUACUAAAACAGAAAUACAAAGAUGCCAAGAUCUUCUCCUUUUCAAAGAAGAAUGAAGCUGGGAAGUACAUUAAACAUUCUCUUGCAGACUUGCGGUCAAAUCUCCUGGUUUUGAUAAAGGCAACCAUGACCAUGGUUACAACAGAGCAGCAUCAGGAAGGCAUUCCUCUCUUUGUUGGAAAGCAUAUUAGCACACUUUCCAUGAUGGUGUAUACCAAGGGUAUGAUAUUUCUGUAGUUCCAAGCUUUCCCAAAUGGUACAAUGUCAAGUAUGAACAUUAUUCAGCAGUUUAUGCAUACAACUUGUGUGAAGACUUUGAGAAGGAGGAUGUCAAAAAAGUCGUGAAACCUCACCAUCAAAGUCAGGAUGGGGGAGAUUGAUUGUGCUUUGAACAAUUGGACAUUGGCUGUACAUAUGUACAUAGAUAUUUAGUUUUUAUUACAGCUGAUAUAUUUUGCGGUAGAGGUAAUUCCAAAUUAUCAUCUUCAGUUAAAUUUUGAAUGGUCUAUCAAUUUUGUUUUCAGUUUAUUUCUUGAUCAGUUUUGUUUUCAGUUGAGGUUUCUCUUCAUUGUUUUAGCUUACCCUCUAAAAACAUUUUAUUCUGUUUGUUUGAUACUAACUUAAAUUAGGCAUGAAUAUCAGCCAAUUCACGGAAGUAUACAAAAAUCUCCGCACUCGGUGGCCUCGAACGCUCUGAUUGGUAUCCCCAUGUGCGUUUGUUACGGUUGGAGCGCGGACCACACAGCACUCGACGCCAUUGAGCGCGGAGAUUAUUUGUUUACUUCCGUGACCCACAGCCGCGACUGAAACAGGAUUUCGAUAUAAUCACUCGAUAUAGGUGAUAAAUUGCCAAAACUGAAGGUUUGUGGCAUGCAGGUCGUAUUUGGAGGGAGGUGGGGAGGUAUCGUGAACAUGACAUGCAUAUAUUUCCAUUUGAUUUAAACGAUACAGCCGAUUUCAACUUCGGCCAAGAUGGCGAGUGACGUACCUUGUCUAUUUAAAUAUAUACUGAACAACAAAAGUUCCUGUGACCUUGAAUAAGAUUUAAUGCAUAGUUGUUUUUUACCAAAUCUGAAACAAUUUCGGUUUGCAACAGAUAAAAGACUCCUGUAAGUGUUCAAAUGCUGUAAUUGCCAUACUGAUUUCAGAAAACGCGUGUUUUAUAAAAAAAAAAGCAUGAACAUGCCAAAAUGUCAAUUUACAAAUCAAUUGCGUGUGUGUCCACCUCUGGUUGA